GCCUGAGAGGGCGACCGGCCACAUUGGGACUGAGAUACGGCCCAGACUCCUACGGGAGGCAGCAGUGGGGAAUAUUGCACAAUGGGCGCAAGCCUGAUGCAGCGACGCCGCGUGAGGGAUGGAGGCCUUCGGGUUGUAAACCUCUUUUGUUAGGGAGCAAGGCACUUUGUGUUGAGUGUACCUUUCGAAUAAGCACCGGCUAACUACGUGCCAGCAGCCGCGGUAAUACGUAGGGUGCAAGCGUUAUCCGGAAUUAUUGGGCGUAAAGGGCUCGUAGGCGGUUCGUCGCGUCCGGUGUGAAAGUCCAUCGCUUAACGGUGGAUCCGCGCCGGGUACGGGCGGGCUUGAGUGCGGUAGGGGAGACUGGAAUUCCCGGUGUAACGGUGGAAUGUGUAGAUAUCGGGAAGAACACCAAUGGCGAAGGCAGGUCUCUGGGCCGUUACUGACGCUGAGGAGCGAAAGCGUGGGGAGCGAACAGGAUUAGAUACCCUGGUAGUCCACGCCGUAAACGGUGGAUGCUGGAUGUGGGGCCCGUUCCACGGGUUCCGUGUCGGAGCUAACGCGUUAAGCAUCCCGCCUGGGGAGUACGGCCGCAAGGCUAAAACUCAAAGAAAUUGACGGGGGCCCGCACAAGCGGCGGAGCAUGCGGAUUAAUUCGAUGCAACGCGAAGAACCUUACCUGGGCUUGACAUGUUCCCGACGGCCCCAGAGAUGGGGUUUCCCUUCGGGGCGGGUUCACAGGUGGUGCAUGGUCGUCGUCAGCUCGUGUCGUGAGAUGUUGGGUUAAGUCCCGCAACGAGCGCAACCCUCGCCCCGUGUUGCCAGCGGAUUAUGCCGGGAACUCACGGGGGACCGCCGGGGUUAACUCGGAGGAAGGUGGGGAUGACGUCAGAUCAUCAUGCCCCUUACGUCCAGGGCUUCACGCAUGCUACAAUGGCCGGUACAACGGGAUGCGACAGUGCGAGCUGGAGCGGAUCCCUGAAAACCGGUCUCAGUUCGGAUCGCAGUCUGCAACUCGACUGCGUGAAGGCGGAGUCGCUAGUAAUCGCGAAUCAGCAACGUCGCGGUGAAUGCGUUCCCGGGCCUUGUACACACCGCCCGUCAAGUCAUGAAAGUGGGCAGCACCCGAAGCCGGUGGCCUAACCCCUUGC
RNAcentral lists this ribosomal RNA (1151 nucleotides) under human gut metagenome. RNAcentral's name for it is "bacterial SSU rRNA". It matches the Rfam family "Bacterial small subunit ribosomal RNA", at positions 290 to 1446 of the family's 1533-position model. The record is from RNAcentral.